This 801-nucleotide ribosomal RNA is filed under the name Selenomonas sp. RNAcentral's name for it is "bacterial SSU rRNA". It matches the Rfam family "Bacterial small subunit ribosomal RNA", at positions 1 to 773 of the family's 1533-position model. The record is from RNAcentral. Lineage: Bacteria; Bacillati; Bacillota; Negativicutes; Selenomonadales; Selenomonadaceae.
UUUAUGGAGAGUUUGAUCCUGGCUCAGGACGAACGCUGGCGGCGUGCUUAACACAUGCAAGUCGAACGGGAUGAUCUUAAAGCUUGCUUUUAGAGAAUCUAGUGGCAAACGGGUGAGUAACACGUAGACAACCUGCCGACAGGAUGGGGACAACAUUCCGAAAGGAAUGCUAAUACCGAAUGAAGUCAGAGGAGGGCAUCCUCCUCUGAUGAAAGAUGGCCUCUGAAUAUGCUAUCACCUGUUGAUGGGUCUGCGUCUGAUUAGCUAGUUGGAGAGGUAACGGCCCACCAAGGCGAUGAUCAGUAGCCGGUCUGAGAGGAUGAACGGCCACAUUGGGACUGAGACACGGCCCAGACUCCUACGGGAGGCAGCAGUGGGGAAUCUUCCGCAAUGGACGAAAGUCUGACGGAGCAACGCCGCGUGAGUGAAGACGGCCUUCGGGUUGUAAAGCUCUGUUGACGGGGACGAACGUGCCUAGUGCGAAUAGUAUUAGGUAAUGACGGUACCUGUCGAGGAAGCCACGGCUAACUCCGUGCCAGCAGCCGCGGUAAUACGGAGGGUGCGAGCGUUAAUCGGAAUAACUGGGCGUAAAGGGCACGCAGGCGGUGACUUAAGUGAGGUGUGAAAGCCCCGGGCUUAACCUGGGAAUUGCAUUUCAUACUGGGUCGCUAGAGUACUUUAGGGAGGGGUAGAAUUCCACGUGUAGCGGUGAAAUGCGUAGAUAUUAGGAAGAACACCAGUGGCGAAGGCGACUUUCUGGACGAAAACUGACGCUGAGGCGCGAAAGCCAGGGGAGCGAAC